This is a small nuclear RNA of Suncus etruscus (white-toothed pygmy shrew), 107 nucleotides long. The record is from RefSeq and is a predicted model, not a curated record. NCBI's taxonomy places the organism in Eukaryota, Metazoa, Chordata, Mammalia, Eulipotyphla, Soricidae.
AUGCUCGCUUCGGAAGCACAUAUACUAAAAUUGGAACGAUACAGAGAAAAAUAGCAUGGCCCCUGUGCAAGGAUGACAUGCAAAUUCAUGAAGCGUUCCAUAUUUUU